GAUGAAGAACGUAGCGAAAUGCGAUAAGUAGUGUGAAUUGCAGAAUUCAGUGAAUCAUCGAAUCUUUGAACGCACAUUGCGCCCCAUGGUAUUCCGUGGGGCAUGCCUGUUCGAGCGUCAUUUACCCCCUCAAGCUCCGCUUGGUGUUGGGCGUCUGUCCCGCUUCGCGCGCGGACUCGCCCCAAAGGUAUUGGCAGCGGUCGUGCCAGCUUCUCGCGCAGCACAUUGCGCUUCUCGAGGCACCGGUGGGCCGCGUCCAUCAAGCUCACCCCCCCAGUUUGACCUCGGAUCAGGUAGGGAUACCCGCUGAACUUAAGCAUAUCAAUAAGCGGAGGA
This 336-nucleotide unclassified non-coding RNA is filed under the name soil metagenome. RNAcentral describes it as "partial contains 5.8S ribosomal RNA, internal transcribed spacer 2, and large subunit ribosomal RNA". The stretch from base 1 to 120 matches the Rfam family "5.8S ribosomal RNA", at positions 35 to 154 of the family's 154-position model. The record is from RNAcentral.